This 253-nucleotide ribosomal RNA is filed under the name uncultured bacterium. Its description in RNAcentral is "partial 16S ribosomal RNA". It matches the Rfam family "Bacterial small subunit ribosomal RNA", at positions 524 to 776 of the family's 1533-position model. The record is from RNAcentral.
UACAGAGGGGGCAAGCGUUGUUCGGAAUUACUGGGCGUAAAGGGUGCGUAGGCGGCGCGGUAAGUCGGGUGUGAAAUCUCGGAGCUUAACUCCGAAACUGCAUUCGAUACUGCCGUUCUUGAGGGCGAGAGAGGAGGGUGGAAUUCCUGGUGUAGCGGUGAAAUGCGUAGAGAUCAGGAGGAACACCCGUGGCGAAGGCGGCCCUCUGGCUCGACCCUGACGCUGAGGCGCGAAAGCGUGGGGAGCGAACGGG